GACGAACGCUGGCGGCAUGCUUAACACAUGCAAGUCGAACGGGAAGUCCCUGCUCUUGUGGCGUACUCGAGUGUCGAACGUGUGAGUCACCCGUGAGUAACCUGCCCUUGACUUUGGGAUAACUUUAGGAACCUGGGGCUAAUACCGCAUAGGAGCUCCUCCUCCAUGGUGGGGGUUGGAAAGUUUCGGCGGUGGGGGAUGGACAGGCGGCUUCUCAGCUUGUUGGUGGUGUAGUGGCUUACCAAGGCUUUGACGGGUAGCCGGCCGGAGAGGGUGACCGGCCGCAAUGGGGGGGCGGAGCCGCGGAGAAUACUACGGGAGGCAGCAGUGGGGAAUAAUGCACCGUGGGGGGAGGCCGGAUGAAGGAACGACGCGGGGGGGAGGACGGCCGUCGGGUUGUAGACAGCUUUCGCCUGUGGCGAAGAGUGAGUGACGGUAUUGGGUAAAGAAGCACCGGCUAACUCCGUG
RNAcentral lists this ribosomal RNA (468 nucleotides) under uncultured bacterium. RNAcentral's name for it is "partial 16S ribosomal RNA". It matches the Rfam family "Bacterial small subunit ribosomal RNA", at positions 28 to 507 of the family's 1533-position model. The record is from RNAcentral.